CCAGGAUGGGAGUGUGUGGGAAGACGGCGGCACCAGCACGGAGCACUGGGCUGGGAGCACAUGGGAAGACAGCGGAUGGAGCACUGGGCCGGGAGCACGCGGGAAGACAGCGGCACCGGGAUGGGCCACCGGGAUGGGAACGCCGCUAUCGCUCCUCCUGGAAGCCGCUUUUAUUUCGGCGAUUUUGGAGUUUUAUCCUGGCCGGAGGUGACGCGCUCAGCACGGUUCCCGCACUCCGCCACCGGGACACUUCCCAGGUUCCCGCGCCUCGCGGGAAAGGCCGCAGGGCUCCCUCGGAACCRUGGGCACGGGACCACGGAUCGGGACGCUCAUGCCAACCGGGCCCCGUGGAAAGCCAGGGCUCGGAAGCGAGCGGCCCCUCGCRAGGCGGCGCGGGAGGAAACGCCGUUGGGGCUCCGGGUGACUUGGCAUUUCCUGACUUUAUUUUUUCACCCAAGACCUUUAAAAACAACAAAAAAAAGAAGAAAACACCCGGAAAAAAGAAAAUAACAACCCCCCCUCCGGUGCGGUUUUGCCGCUCGCUCGCGUUUCCCCUCCCCUCGGCCGGCGCCCGCCUCUUCCCGGAGCGGCAGCGGCUCCUCGGCUCGGCUCGGCCGCGCGUCCACCUGCCACGGCGGGCGAUGGAGCCGCCGUGCCGCCAGGUACCGGCGGGAAAGGCGGUGCAUGGAGAGGGAGGUUUGGUUUCGGAUGCUCCGCGUGGGAUGGGGCGACGCCGGGAACGGGGCGCUCCGGGUGCACCCCGCCGCCGCGGCUCCGGGGCGGAACGCCGCGCGCGGCCUCGACGGGAGGGCGCCGGGGUCGGGUUCGGCUUCGCGGCAUCCGGUUUUUUCCGCUUUUUCGCAUCCGUCGGGUGCCGAAGGAGCCGGGGCUGGAGCAGGCGGGCGGGUGGGUGCCGAGUGCCCCGGGGAUGUGGGUGGCCGAGUUUCCCUCCGGCACCGGGAUGCUCUGGGACAGCCCUGGAGAGGGGACGGUCCCUGCAGGUGUUCGGGAUGCUCCGGGGUGCCGCACGGGAAUGCGGGACGCUCCGGGGCRCACGGGGACACGGGAUGCUCCAGGGUGCUGCAGGGGCGCACGGCGAUGCAGGUCACCCCAGGGCGCCACACAGGGUGCACAGGGAUGUGGGUCACCCUGGGGUGCCACGCAGGGUGCACGGGGACACGGGUCACCCCAGGGUGCUGCACGGGGUGCACGGGGACGUGGGUCACCCCGGGGUGCUGCACGGGGUGCAGAAGGAUGUGGGUCACCCCGGGGUGCCACGUGGGGUGCACGGGGACAUGGGUCACCCCAGGGUGCUGCACAGGGUGCACAGGGAUGUGGGUCACCCCAGGGUGCUGCACGGGGACGCAGGGCACCCUGGGGUGCUGCACGGGGUGCACGGGGACGUGGGUCACCCCUGGGGUGCCACACAGGGUGCACAGGGAUGUGGGUCACCCCAGGGUGCUGCACAGGGUGCAGAGGGAUGUGGGUCACCCCAGGGUGCAUGGGGACGUGGGUCACCCCUGGGUGCUGCGCAAGGUGCACAUGGGUCACCCCUGGGUGCUGCACAGGGUGCACAGGGACGCGUGUCACCCCCAGGGUGCACAGGGCGGUGCGUCCGUGCGCGCGCGGCGGAGGCCGGGUGUGAAUCACGGUGUUGCACAACCCGCGCGGCCUCGCGGUUGUGAAACGGUGCCGGCUGCCUGCGKGUUCCCCGGCCGGGCGGCACGCUGGCUGCUGAUUGGCUGCUGGUUGUUUGUGGGGCAGGUGCUCCGCCUGCUG
Long non-coding RNA from Apteryx haastii (Great spotted kiwi), 1779 nucleotides. The record is from Ensembl. NCBI's taxonomy places the organism in Eukaryota, Metazoa, Chordata, Aves, Apterygiformes, Apterygidae.